GACGAACGCUGGCGGCGUGCUUAACACAUGCAAGUCGAACGGUGAAGCGCCUUCCUUUUUGGUGGGUGUGGAUGAGUGGCGAACGGGUGAGUAACACGUGAGUAACCUGCCCCCUUCUUCUGGAUAACCGCAUGAAAGUGUGGCUAAUACGGGAUAUUCUGGGUCUGUCGCAUGAUGGGUCUGGGAAAGAUAUUGUUUCGGUGGGGGAUGGGCUCGCGGCCUAUCAGCUUGUUGGUGGGGUGAUGGCCUACCAAGGCGGUGACGGGUAGCCGGCCUGAGAGGGUGAACGGUCACACUGGGACUGAGACACGGCCCAGACUCCUACGGGAGGCAGCAGUGGGGAAUAGUGCACAAUGGGCGCAAGCCUGAUGCAGCGACGCCGCGUGAGGGAUGGAGGCCUUCGGGUUGUGAACCUCUUUCGCCAGUGAAGCAGGCCUGCCUCGUUUGUGGGUGGGUUGACGGUAGCUGGAUAAGAAGCGCCGGCUAACUACGUG
Molecule: ribosomal RNA, 494 nt
Filed under: uncultured bacterium
Lineage: Bacteria
Description: partial 16S ribosomal RNA
Rfam family: Bacterial small subunit ribosomal RNA
Source: RNAcentral